RNAcentral lists this long non-coding RNA (1344 nucleotides) under Nicotiana tabacum (common tobacco). RNAcentral's name for it is "long non-coding RNA (NTAB_LNC003594)". The record is from RNAcentral. Lineage: Eukaryota; Viridiplantae; Streptophyta; Magnoliopsida; Solanales; Solanaceae.
AAUUCUCUUUAAAUUCCUUUAAUCCAGAGCCAACAUUAAUGAUACAAAGGCAAAUGCACCAUCUGUAGAAAUGCAAAUGGAUGAAAGGUAAUUAAAGGUAAAUCACUAGGGUAUAAAAGUUAACAAAAGCUCCACUUUAAUUUAGUCAGAGAAUCCCUGAAGGCAGGAAGCUUUGAACAUCCAACAAAAGUUGAUCAACCGUAGAAUAUAAAAUCAUGUUUCGUAUACUUUAAGGUCACUAUUAAGACUUAAUUAAUAAUUCUCUUCCAGUUAAGAUAACUCAGGACAAGGAUGAUACACUGAUAAGCAGAAAAUGAUACUAUUCAAACAUAAGUUGAACUUAGGAGCAUAAAUAUUACUUUGAUAUAGGAACUUCAAUUUGCUUUGUUGUGCCAAAUAAGACUGAGGAAGAUAAGAAUUAAGAUAUUCCUCUGCAUUUAUGCAUCUAUCAAGCAAUUGUAGUAAAAAUUGAAUCAGAUUAUGUUGUUUGUUUAUAUUUUUAAUUUAUAUGAUCUCUUCUUCUUUGUUACUAUUUUUUAUCUCUUUUUUAACUAUAUCUUCUCUCUCCCCUGAUUGGCUAUGAAUUUUGAGCUUAUUCGUGCUUUGGAACAAACUAAUUAAUAUGUGAUCCACAUGGAAUCAACUAUCUGGAGUAGUAUAGUUAGGUCCUAUUUAAAACAAAUUGAUCAAACAGACAUUAUAAUUUAUUCUUUCGCCUGAUAUGUGCUUAACAAAAGCAUGGUUCGGGAGUUUCAAUUUAUCUUCUAAAAUUUAGUAGCUCAACCAGUUUAGUGUAGGAUAGCGUCGAUCCAUCUUUAUAGAAUACAUUAUACCUUCCAUGCACUUGAAAAUUAAAAUUGUUAUGGAGAGACGAUCAAUAUUUAAAAGUAAUCAGUAAUUUGUUAAUGCAGCUCUUUUCACUUUAGUCAUUUUUACUUUUCUAAUUUCUCCUCUUUAAGGAAGGAUAUAUUCUGUCUUAGUUACAUUUUCUGUUGACAUUUUCCUAAUCCAAAAAGAAAAAGGAAAAAGACAAGCAUAUACUCAGUCUUAAAUAUUUCUGAACCAAUCUUCCACAAUUUCUUUGCUGAUUGUUUACAGGAAGACCAAAUCAAAGCAAUCAUUACCCAAUUAUCAAAAAAUGUUCAGACUAUUUCAUACCUAUUUGAUAACGGAUACACGCAUACAGCUACCAAAUCUGAGAUACGAAAAAUCGUUGCAUACGUUUGAAUGGGUUAUCGACAAAAAGACCAUAAUUGAUCCAAUUGAGAAAGACAACCCACAUGAAGAUGAGUUGCCUCCACCCAUCAGACUUACUGUUACAUCCUUUCGAGAUAUUAAAAAUCA